UACGAAGGGGGCUAGCGUUGCUCGGAAUUCCUGGGCGUAAAGGGCGCGUAGGCGGCACUGUUAGUCAGGCGUGAAAUUCCUGGGCUCAACCUGGGGACUGCGCUUGAUACGGCAGAGCUUGAGGAUGGAAGAGGGUCGCGGAAUUCCCAGUGUAGAGGUGAAAUUCGUAGAUAUUGGGAAGAACACCGGUGGCGAAGGCGGCGGCCUGGUCCAUUACUGACGCUGAGGCGCGACAGCGUGGGGAGCAAACAGG
RNAcentral lists this ribosomal RNA (253 nucleotides) under uncultured bacterium. RNAcentral's name for it is "partial 16S ribosomal RNA". It matches the Rfam family "Bacterial small subunit ribosomal RNA", at positions 524 to 776 of the family's 1533-position model. The record is from RNAcentral.